RNAcentral lists this small RNA (107 nucleotides) under chicken gut metagenome. RNAcentral describes it as "Ribosomal protein L10 leader". It matches the Rfam family "Ribosomal protein L10 leader". Rfam says of the family: This family is a putative r-protein leader autoregulatory structure found in B. subtilis and other low-GC Gram-positive bacteria. The record is from RNAcentral.
AAAGAAUAUAUUAGUACCGUAGACAGUAGGGGAUUAAUUCUUAAAAAUCCUACCGAGGGAACUUGCAUUAGUUUUUUGUAAGCUCUUUCGGUAUAGAAAGAGCUUUU